This 30-nucleotide ribosomal RNA is filed under the name Peziza arvernensis. RNAcentral describes it as "partial 18S ribosomal RNA". Lineage: Eukaryota; Fungi; Ascomycota; Pezizomycetes; Pezizales; Pezizaceae. The record is from RNAcentral.
GUAGGUGAACCUGCGGAAGGAUCAUUAAUG